GACGAACGCUGGCGGCGUGCUUAACACAUGCAAGUCGAACGAUGAAGCCGGAGCUUGCUCUGGUGAAUUAGUGGCGAACGGGUGAGUAACACGUGAGUAACCUGCCCUUGACUCUGGGAUAACUGCGGGAAACUGUAGCUAAUACCGGAUACGACCCUCGGAGGCAUCUCCUGGGGGUGGAAAGAAUUUCGGUCAAGGAUGGACUCGCGGCCUAUCAGCUAGUUGGUGAGGUAACGGCUCACCAAGGCGACGACGGGUAGCCGGCCUGAGAGGGGGACAGGCCACACUGGGACUGAGACACGGCCCAGACUCCUACGGGAGGCAGCAGUGGGGAAUAUUGCACAAUGGGCGCAAGCCUGAUGCAGCGACGCCGCGUGAGGGAUGACGGCCUUCGGGUUGUAAACCUCUUUCAGCACCGACGAAGCGCAAGUGACGGUAGGUGCAGAAGAAGGACCGGCCAACUACGUGCCAGCAGCCGCCGUAA
Molecule: ribosomal RNA, 484 nt
Filed under: uncultured bacterium
Lineage: Bacteria
Description: partial 16S ribosomal RNA
Rfam family: Bacterial small subunit ribosomal RNA
Source: RNAcentral